This 484-nucleotide ribosomal RNA is filed under the name uncultured bacterium. Its description in RNAcentral is "partial 16S ribosomal RNA". It matches the Rfam family "Bacterial small subunit ribosomal RNA", at positions 38 to 507 of the family's 1533-position model. The record is from RNAcentral.
GGGGGGGGGGGGGGGGGGGCGUGGCGGGGGGGGGGCGGGCGGGGGGGGGGGGCUUGCUCCUGGAGGCAGCGGCGGACGGGGGAGUAAUGCCGAGGAAUCGGCCUGGGAGUGGGGGAUAACGUCCGGAAACGGGCGCUAAUACCGCAUACGUCCGGAGGGAGAACGUGGGGGAUCUUCGGACCUCACGCUAUCAGAUGAGCCUAGGUCGGAUUAGCUAGGUGGUGGGGUAAAGGCCUACCAAGGCGACGAUCCGUAACUGGUCUGAGAGGAUGAUCCGUCACACUGGAACUGAGACACGGUCCAGACUCCUACGGGAGGCAGCAGUGGGGAAUAUUGGACAAUGGGCGAAAGCCUGAUCCAGCCAUGCCGCGUGUGUGAAGAAGGUCUUCGGAUUGUAAAGCACUUUAAGUUGGGAGGAAGGGCAGUAAGUUAAUACCUUGCUGUUUUGACGUUACCAACAGAAUAAGCACCGGCUAACUUCGUG